Molecule: unclassified non-coding RNA, 233 nt
Filed under: Hevea brasiliensis (rubber tree)
Lineage: Eukaryota; Viridiplantae; Streptophyta; Magnoliopsida; Malpighiales; Euphorbiaceae
Source: RNAcentral
GGAUGUUAUGAGGCAUUGCUUGAGUGGGAGGUUUCCUUCCGUUUCGCUCUUUAAGGAUUAUCAGAAUGCGGCUAUGGCGAUAUUGGAGAAAUCUGAUUACACUAUGAUUUCUGGGAAUCCUUUCAUUAAAAAGUCAGGUUGGAGAAAGAUAUCAUGUUACUUCAAUCUUUCUUAUGAAAUCAAAGACAAGACCAUUGAAUUCGAUGAUAACCGAAAUGUUCUGCGGGCUGAGU